AUGGGAAGCAGAGCAGCGCCGCCGCCGGCGGGACACCACCCGUCGCCGGCCAUGGCGUCCUCCGCCUCCGCCACCGCCGCCGCCGCCGCGAAGGCCGACGCUCCCUUCUGCCCCAUCGACAUCUCGUCCGACGAGGACGACGACGUGACAGUCCUUGGCUCCUCCAACAGCCGCGAGGAGAUGCAGAUCCAGCAGGCCAUCCUCCUCUCCCUCGACCCCUCUCGCGACCAGGCCACCGUCCCCUCCUCCUCCGGAACCGCCGUCGCCGGGGCCUCCGAAUGGUCCAUUCCAGGCCGCAAGGGGAGGCGCAAACUAGGAUCGGAGCUGCCCCUGUUUCCUGUCGAUUCCAGCAGAUCUCCGUCGAAACCAGAGACGCGUCAAGUCAUCGACUUGGACGACGACAGCCCCCCUCAAGUGAUCGAUCUGUACGACGAUGAUGGCUGCAGCUUGAUCUUCCUCAAAGACAUCGCCAGCGGCAAGAGGAAGCUGUUCGAGAAAGGCGAAUGCUCCAACAGCGCCAAGGGCUUCGACUGCACGAUCUGCAUGGAGACGGUUCCCGGCGUCGAGCGCUUCCGCAUCCCCGGGUGCCGGCACGCGUUCUGCGCCGGCUGCGUGAGGCAGUACAUCGCCGCGAGGGUGGAGGAGAACCUGCUGGCCAUCGGCUGCCCCGACCCGGGCUGCAAGGACGGCGUGCUGCACCCGGAGGAGUGCCGGCGCGUGAUCCCGGCGCCGCUGUUCCACAGGUGGGGCGCCGCGCUCUGCGACAUGGCGCUCGGCGAGCUCAAGUUCUACUGCCCCUUCAAGGACUGCUCGGCGCUGCUGGUGGACGACGACCCCGGGGACGGCGACGCGGCGGCGAAGGUGGAGUGCCCCCAUUGCAAGCGGGUGUUCUGCGCGAAGUGCAAGGUGCCGUGGCACGAGGGGGUGGAGUGCGCCGAGUUUCAGCGGCUCGGGGACGACGAGCGCGGGCGGGAGGACCUGCUGCUGAGGAAGGUGGCGCAGCAGAGCAAGUGGCAGCGGUGCCCCAAGUGCAAGAUCUACGUCGAGAGGGUGGACGGCUGCACCUUCAUCGCCUGCAGGUGCGGGCACUGCUUCUGCUACCUGUGCGGCUCUACGAUGGCGAGGAGCAACCAUUAUUGCGCAAAGUGCAAGCGGUGA
This 1158-nucleotide ribosomal RNA is filed under the name Triticum aestivum (bread wheat). Its description in RNAcentral is "partial small subunit ribosomal RNA". The record is from RNAcentral. Lineage: Eukaryota; Viridiplantae; Streptophyta; Magnoliopsida; Poales; Poaceae.